Long non-coding RNA from Papaver somniferum (opium poppy), 2410 nucleotides. RefSeq lists it as uncharacterized. NCBI's taxonomy places the organism in Eukaryota, Viridiplantae, Streptophyta, Magnoliopsida, Ranunculales, Papaveraceae. The record is from RefSeq and is a predicted model, not a curated record. The transcript is spliced from 9 exons.
AUACCCCCAGAUUUUCCCUUGCCUACUUCUCCUGAAACUUUAUCUCUCUCUUUUAAAUCUUAUCUAGAUGCGCUUUCUCUUUCCAUCUUCUUCAUUUUUUCCCCGAACAGAAAUACUAAACCCUAACUGUGAAUCCUUGUUUCAUUAUAAUUCGUUCAACUGAUAUACUUCAUUCAUUCGAACUAAACUCUCCCAGAAUUCAUGAUUCGAUCUGUAGCUUUGCAUCAAUUUCUUCGAUCUGUGAUAGUUUCUUCUUUCUUCAAUUUCUUCGAUCUGUAACAUUUCAUUCCUUCUUCAAUUUCUUCGAUUGGUUGCAAUCAACUAUUCUUCCAUUUUAUCUUAUAACCAAAGAAGAAAUCGAACCUCCUUUCAUUUCAUCAUCAGUAGCAAAUCGAAGAAGAGUUCAACAGAAAUCAGUGAUGAAAAUGUUAGGAAUUAUCAGUGGAUUUAUUUGUGUUAUGGGUCUUUCUCAGUAUUAUAUCUACAAAUGGCAGGCAGAAGCAUAUCGGUAAUCAUAUGUAGGAUGUGGACAAGAAGCUGGUCGAGAAAUAAUGCUGAGCAAACUACAAUUAUGAUGCAUGAAAUAGUGAAGAUGAAGUCAUGGUGAUGAUUUCCUGGUAAGUUAUGUUUACAGCACUAUGAACUUGUUAUGCAACUUGUUCAUAGUCUUCGAGAGUGAUUCUUUGAGAUUCUAAAUCUCACCAUAAAUAAUUGUGAUUUCUAGCAAGGUAAUUGCUGAUAAAUUCUGUUGUGUAUGCGUGAUUUAAUAUGAAACUUCUUUCCUGUGUAAGGGUGUUAAUAUUAUAUGGAUCAUAUGCGCAUCAAGGUGUUUGAUUUUUAUUGUAUUAUAUGAUUUAGGAGAGUCAAAUGCUGCUAGCGUUCGUGCUGUAUGUUUUAACCAACUGUAUCAGAAAAUAUUAAUGUCGCAAGCUUGCUCAUAAUUUAAACCUUUCUAAUUCAUGUUUUCAGGUUCUUACCCGCAAUAAGUUAGAGUGCCCUGACCUUGAAACAUUAUCUAUUAAAGAUCAAACCCUAACUACUGAGAGUCAGUAUCUUCCUAAAGCGAUACCCACUUAAUUUGAAACGCUCAGGAAACUGUACUCAUGUGCACGUCUUUUUUCUGAAUUCUACUUGUUUGACGUUGCAUGCGUGGAAAAAAUCGUUGGUUGGGCAUUAAGUUAUCAUCUGAUGCACAGUACUGAUAUAAUUUCGAAGAUUCAAAACUUGUUAUAUCUGGCGAAAGGUUUAAUAUGUUCAUCUCACCUUCUUUAUUUCAUUGUAUUAAAAUUUGAGCCCAGCAGUCUGUGAAGUGUCACUCUAACCUUGUUUUUCUGGCUACGAAUAUUGCAGCAUUAAGUAUGGACUUGACCUUCUUCAGGGAAUCCAAAACGAAACCAAGAGUACAAAGAAAUCACUAAAGGUGAAGUUAAUAUGCUCUUAAUAGUUCUCAAUUUGUUGUUUGUUCACAGUGGUUCGACGAAGGAGAGAAAUAUGUCAAAGCAGUGUUCUCACUAGCUAGUAAAAUAGCUCCAAGUGUUAUCUUUGAUGAUGAGUGAUCCCACAGUUUCUUUUCUCAAAAAUUGCUUUAAGUUGGUCUUGUUUGGAUCCAAAGCAAGAGGAAAGGAAUUUCACAUCCCGAUCAACUUUAGUUGAAUUUGAUGCGGAAUUCGCAGGAACCAACAGAAAAAUUAAGGUGUACUUAACUAAGUUUUACAAUCUGAGCAGCGAAGUUUUACAAUCUGAGAAGAUGAGGAUUUGAUGAAAGCAUCCAGGACAUAAAUAUGGAAGAGGAUGCGUUGGAAUUAAUGGAUCAUUUAGAUUGACCACAAGCUCAUUCCAUGGGUUCAAUGGCUUGAAUCAAAGCACAUAAACCCAGGGCUUACUUCAAGAAGUUUCAAUUCAAAUUCAAGCGAAUGAGAGAGGCAAAAACGAAAAAUAGAGCCAGAAUCCGACUAAUUAACCAGCGCAAGAACAAGUACAACACCCCUAAGUACCGUUUUGUUGUUCGUUUCACCAACAUAGAAAUUAUUGCCCUGAUCAUAUCUGCUAUGAUACUGGUGAUUUGGUAACUUGUGCAGCUUAUGCCCACAAGUUUCCCAGAUAUGGUCUUGAAGUUGGUCUCACUAACUAUGCCGCAGCUUAAGGCUAGAGUGAUGAACCUGAAUUGAGCUAGUUUGUUGGUAAAUGAAGGUAUAAGUAGUGAAGUCUUGUUCUAUGUUGCUAACUCGCAUGGAAGAUUUUCAAGCUUUUUGAUUUGUUAAGUUUGUAAAAGAAAUAUAGGUUGAGCAAUUUUUUACUUACCGUUGAAAUUCAGAUUUAGAACUUAAAAGGUAUGAUAGUAGAAGUUGUAAACGAACACAUUUUAAUACACAUUAAGUGUUACAGUCGUUAUAAAUUUAAAAUUCUAAAA